GGCGUAGAGGGCUUCGCAGGCGGUUUUUUAAGUCUGAUGUGAAAGCCCCCGGCUUAACCGGGGAGGGUCAUUGGAAACUGGGGAACUUGAGUGCAGAAGAGGAGAGUGGAAUUCCACGUGUAGCGGUGAAAUGCGUAGAGAUGUGGAGGAACACCAGUGGCGAAGGCGACUCUCUGGUCUGUAACUGACGCUGAGGAGCGAAAGCGUGGGGAGCGAACAGGAUUAGAUACCCUGGUAGUCCACGCCGUAAACGAUGAGUGCUAAGUGUUAGGGGGUUUCCGCCCCUUAGUGCUGCAGCUAACGCAUUAAGCACUCCGCCUGGGGAGUACGGUCGCAAGACUGAAACUCAAAGGAAUUGACGGGGGCCCGCACAAGCGGUGGAGCAUGUGGUUUAAUUCGAAGCAACGCGAAGAACCUUACCAGGUCUUGACAUCCUCUGACAAUCCUAGAGAUAGGACGUCCCCUUCGGGGGCAGAGUGACAGGUGGUGCAUGGUUGUCGUCAGCUCGUGUCGUGAGAUGUUGGGUUAAGUCCCGCAACGAGCGCAACCCUUGAUCUUAGUUGCCAGCAUUCAGUUGGGCACUCUAAGGUGACUGCCGGUGACAAACCGGAGGAAGGUGGGGAUGACGUCAAAUCAUCAUGCCCCUUAUGACCUGGGCUACACACGUGCUANCAUGGACAGAACAAAGGGCAGCGAAACCGCGAGGUUAAGCCAAUCCCACAAAUCUGUUCUCAGUUCGGAUCGCAGUCUGCAACUCGACUGCGUGAAGCUGGAAUCGCUAGUAAUCGCGGAUCACA
This 797-nucleotide ribosomal RNA is filed under the name Bacillus subtilis. RNAcentral's name for it is "bacterial SSU rRNA". It matches the Rfam family "Bacterial small subunit ribosomal RNA", at positions 557 to 1353 of the family's 1533-position model. The record is from RNAcentral. Lineage: Bacteria; Bacillati; Bacillota; Bacilli; Caryophanales; Bacillaceae.